This 623-nucleotide unclassified non-coding RNA is filed under the name Fairmania singularis. RNAcentral describes it as "sequence contains ITS1, 5.8S rRNA gene and ITS2". The stretch from base 236 to 389 matches the Rfam family "5.8S ribosomal RNA". Lineage: Eukaryota; Fungi; Ascomycota; Sordariomycetes; Microascales; Microascaceae. The record is from RNAcentral.
GGAAGUAAAAAUCGUAACAAGGUCUCCGUUGGUGAACCAGCGGAGGGAUCAUUACCGAAGUUACCCUUCAAACCCUUGUGAACCUUACCGCUGCCGCGCUGUUUCCUCGGCGGAGGCGCGGGUCCGGGGCCGCCCCUCAGGGGGUCGUCCCGCCACCCCCGUCCCCGCCGGCAGCGCCAAACUCUUGCUCUGCAUAGCGGACUGUAUGUUCUGAUUUACAAUAAAAACAAGUCAAAACUUUCAACAACGGAUCUCUUGGUUCUGGCAUCGAUGAAGAACGCAGCGAAAUGCGAUAAGUAAUGUGAAUUGCAGAAUUCAGUGAACCAUCGAAUCUUUGAACGCACAUUGCGCCCGGCAGUAUUCUGCCGGGCAUGCCUGUCCGAGCGUCAUUUCUGCCCUCGAGCGCGGUUCGGCCCUAGGGCCGUCCGCCGCCCGGCGUUGGGGCGCUACGGGGAUGUCCCCGUAGGCCCCGAAAUGUAGUGGCGGUCCCGCCGCGGCGCCCCCUGCGUAGUAGACAUACAACCGCAUCGGGUCCCGGCGGAGGCCAGCCGUCAAACCUUUACUUCUGAUAGUUUGACCUCGGAUCAGGUAGGGUUACCCGCUGAACUUAAGCAUAUCAAUAA